Molecule: unclassified non-coding RNA, 283 nt
Organism: Mustela putorius furo (domestic ferret)
Lineage: Eukaryota; Metazoa; Chordata; Mammalia; Carnivora; Mustelidae
Gene: 7SK
Rfam family: 7SK RNA
About the family: 7SK was discovered as an abundant small nuclear RNA in the mid-70s but a possible function has only recently been suggested.
Source: Ensembl
GGAUGUGAGGGCACUCUGGCUGGGACAUCUGUCACCCCAUUGAUCAUCAGGGUUGAUUCAGCUGAUCUGGCUGACUAGGCGGGUGUCCCCUUACUCCCUCACCUCUCCAUGCACAUCCCUCCCAAAGCUUCACACUCCAUCAAAGAGGAUGCCCUUCCCCAGUAGAGGAGAGGACCGUUCUUUGGUAAAGGAUGUACAAGUAGUUGUGCUCCCCUGCUAGAAUCUCCAAACAAGCUCUCAAGGUAGGAGGACGUAAGGUAGUCAAGCUUCCAANNNNNNNNNN